Molecule: non-coding RNA, 75 nt
Organism: Aerococcus christensenii
Lineage: Bacteria; Bacillati; Bacillota; Bacilli; Lactobacillales; Aerococcaceae
Source: Rfam
CCAGAACUGCAACCGCACAAGACUGUGUUAAAGUACGGGUAGCCGUCACCUUUCUUGGCGAGUCUAAGUCUAUAU